RNAcentral lists this ribosomal RNA (497 nucleotides) under uncultured bacterium. RNAcentral's name for it is "partial 16S ribosomal RNA". It matches the Rfam family "Bacterial small subunit ribosomal RNA", at positions 28 to 507 of the family's 1533-position model. The record is from RNAcentral.
GACGAACGCUGGCGGCGUGCCUAAUACAUGCAAGUAGAACGCUGAAGCUUGGUGCUUGCACCGAGCGGAUGAGUUGCGAACGGGUGAGUAACGCGUAGGUAACCUGCCUGGUAGCGGGGGAUAACUAUUGGAAACGAAAGCUAAUACCGCAUAAGAGUAGAUGUUGCAUGACAUUUGCUUAAAAGGUGCAAUUGCAUCACUACCAGAUGGACCUGCGUUGUAUUAGCUAGUUGGUGAGGUAACGGCUCACCAAGGCAACGAUACAUAGCCGACCUGAGAGGGUGAUCGGCCACACUGGGACUGAGACACGGCCCAGACUCCUACGGGAGGCAGCAGUAGGGAAUCUUCGGCAAUGGACGGAAGUCUGACCGAGCAACGCCGCGUGAGUGAAGAAGGUUUUCGGAUCGUAAAGCUCUGUUGUAAGAGAAGAACGAGUGUGAGAGUGGAAAGUUCACACUGUGACGGUAUCUUACCAGAAAGGGACGGCUAACUACGUG